This 392-nucleotide ribosomal RNA is filed under the name Oscillatoriales cyanobacterium WK3. RNAcentral's name for it is "bacterial SSU rRNA". It matches the Rfam family "Bacterial small subunit ribosomal RNA", at positions 355 to 761 of the family's 1533-position model. Lineage: Bacteria; Bacillati; Cyanobacteriota; Cyanophyceae; Oscillatoriales. The record is from RNAcentral.
UGGGGAAUUUUCCGCAAUGGGCGAAAGCCUGACGGAGCAAGACCGCGUGAGGGAGGAAGGCCUACUGGUUGUAAACCUCUUUUGAUAGGGAAGAACACAAUGACGGUACCUAUCGAAUCAGCCUCGGCUAACUCCGUGCCAGCAGCCGCGGUAAUACGGAGGAGGCAAGCGUUAUCCGGAAUUAUUGGGCGUAAAGCGUCCGUAGGUGGUUAGUCAAGUCAGUUGUUAAAGCGUGGAGCUUAACUCCAUAAGGGCAAUUGAAACUGAUUAGCUAGAGUGCGAUAGGGGCAAGGGGAAUUCCCAGUGUAGCGGUGAAAUGCGUAGAUAUUGGGAAGAACAUCGGUGGCGAAAGCGCCUUGCUGGGUCUGCACUGACACUGAGGGACGAAAGCU